RNAcentral lists this ribosomal RNA (195 nucleotides) under uncultured bacterium. RNAcentral's name for it is "partial 16S ribosomal RNA". It matches the Rfam family "Bacterial small subunit ribosomal RNA", at positions 328 to 539 of the family's 1533-position model. The record is from RNAcentral.
ACGCUCGACCCUACGGAGGCAGCAGUGGGGAAUAUUGCACAAUGGGGGAAACCCUGAUGCAGCAACGCCGCGUGAAGGAAGACGGUUUUCGGAUUGUAAACUUCUGUUCUUAGUGAAGAUAGUGACGGUAGCUAAGGAGCAAGCCACGGCUAACUACGUGCAGCAGCCGCGGUAAUCUGAGCGGGCUGGCAAGGC